This 253-nucleotide ribosomal RNA is filed under the name uncultured bacterium. RNAcentral's name for it is "partial 16S ribosomal RNA". It matches the Rfam family "Bacterial small subunit ribosomal RNA", at positions 524 to 776 of the family's 1533-position model. The record is from RNAcentral.
UACGUAGGUGGCAAGCGUUAUCCGGAAUUAUUGGGCGUAAAGCGCGCGCAGGCGGUUUCUUAAGUCUGAUGUGAAAGCCCACGGCUCAACCGUGGAGGGUCAUUGGAAACUGGGGAACUUGAGUGCAGAGGAGAAAAGCGGAAUUCCACGUGUAGCGGUGAAAUGCGUAGAGAUGUGGAGGAACACCAAUGGCGAAGGCGGCUUUUUGGUCUGUAACUGACGCUGAGGCGCGAAAGCGUGGGGAGCAAACAGG